This 240-nucleotide unclassified non-coding RNA is filed under the name soil metagenome. Its description in RNAcentral is "partial contains 5.8S ribosomal RNA, internal transcribed spacer 2, and large subunit ribosomal RNA". The record is from RNAcentral.
AACGCACGAGACCUGCGGACCUGCGGAAGGAUCAUUACAGAGUUCAUGCCCUCGCGGGUAGAUCUCCCACCCUUGUGUAUCUCAUAUUUUUGUUGCUUUGGCAGGCCGUUAAUUCGUUAACCACCGGCUCUCGGGCUGGUGCGCGCCUGCCAGAGGAUCUCUCAAACUCGGUUUGUCAGUGUCGUCUGAGUAACCAUAACAAUCGUUAAAACUUUUAACAAUGGAUCUCUAGAUCGGAAG